Molecule: transfer RNA, 104 nt
Filed under: Heterobasidion irregulare TC 32-1
Lineage: Eukaryota; Fungi; Basidiomycota; Agaricomycetes; Russulales; Bondarzewiaceae
Rfam family: tRNA
About the family: Transfer RNA (tRNA) molecules are approximately 80 nucleotides in length. Their secondary structure includes four short double-helical elements and three loops (D, anti-codon, and T loops). Further hydrogen bonds mediate the characteristic L-shaped molecular structure. tRNAs have two regions of fundamental functional importance: the anti-codon, which is responsible for specific mRNA codon recognition, and the 3' end, to which the tRNAs corresponding amino acid is attached (by aminoacyl-tRNA synthetases). tRNAs cope with the degeneracy of the genetic code in two manners: having more than one tRNA (with a specific anti-codon) for a particular amino acid; and 'wobble' base-pairing, i.e. permitting non-standard base-pairing at the 3rd anti-codon position.
Source: Rfam by way of RNAcentral
GCCCGCCUAGCUCAAUCGGAUAGAGCGUCAGACUCUUACUGACAGGCGGGUUCACCACCUCUGCGGUGAUCUGAAGGCUGCGAGUUCGACCCUCGCGGUGGGCU